This 77-nucleotide small RNA is filed under the name Klebsiella sp. RNAcentral describes it as "RtT sRNA". It matches the Rfam family "RtT RNA", at positions 38 to 111 of the family's 130-position model. Rfam says of the family: This family represents a bacterial cis-regulatory element known as RtT RNA. The exact function of RtT is unknown although it is thought that it may be involved in changing the cellular response in relation to amino acid starvation. The record is from RNAcentral. Lineage: Bacteria; Pseudomonadati; Pseudomonadota; Gammaproteobacteria; Enterobacterales; Enterobacteriaceae.
AAGGUUCGACUCGAGCGCCAGCGAGAGAACGUUGCCGCAGGCAACGGCCCGAAGGGCGAGGAGCGAUAGCGACGAGU